GACGAACGCUGGCGGCGUGCUUAACACAUGCAAGUCGAACGCUGAAGCUCAGCUUUUGUUGGGUGGAUGAGUGGCGAACGGGUGAGUAACACGUGAGUAACCUGCCCCCUUCUUUGGGAUAACGCCCGGAAACGGGUGCUAAUACUGGAUAUUCACUGGUCUUCGCAUGGGGGUUGGUGGAAAGGGUUUUUCUGGUGGGGGAUGGGCUCGCGGCCUAUCAGCUUGUUGGUGGGGUGAUGGCCUACCAAGGCUUUGACGGGUAGCCGGCCUGAGAGGGUGACCGGUCACAUUGGGACUGAGAUAGGGCCCAGACUCCUACGGGAGGCAGCAGUGGGGAAUAUUGCACAAUGGGCGCAAGCCUGAUGCAGCGACGCCGCGUGAGGGAUGGAGGCCUUCGGGUUGUGAACCCCUUUCGCUCAUGGUCAAGCCGCAACAAUGGUUGUGGUGAGGGUAGUGGGUAAAGAAGCGCCGGCUAACUACGUG
RNAcentral lists this ribosomal RNA (483 nucleotides) under uncultured bacterium. Its description in RNAcentral is "partial 16S ribosomal RNA". It matches the Rfam family "Bacterial small subunit ribosomal RNA", at positions 28 to 507 of the family's 1533-position model. The record is from RNAcentral.